AUACUUACCUGGCAGGGGAGAUACCACCGCCGUCCUUGAAGGUGGUUCACCCAGGCGGCUCAGCCAUUGCUUCGGUUGUGCUGACCGUCUUAUUCCCAAAUGUGGGAAUCUCGACUGCAUAAUUUGUGGUAGUGGGGAGACUGCGUCCGCGCUCUCCCCUG
This is a small nuclear RNA of Hippoglossus stenolepis (Pacific halibut), 161 nucleotides long. RefSeq annotates it as U1 spliceosomal RNA. NCBI's taxonomy places the organism in Eukaryota, Metazoa, Chordata, Actinopteri, Pleuronectiformes, Pleuronectidae. The record is from RefSeq and is a predicted model, not a curated record. The transcript has a single exon.